UUUAUGUGGUGCUGAGGAUCGAACUCAGUGCCUCGAGUGUGCUAGGUGAGUACUCUUCCGCUGAGCCCCAGCCCCAUGAACACAUUUUCAUCGUAGAACAAUAACGCAGACAGACAAAGCCUUGACCCCCACCCAGUCCCACUCACCCCUUGGGUACCACCACUGUUAUCAAUUUGUAAUGUAUAUGCACACACACACACACACACACAAACACACACAGACACAUAUACAUACAGACAUGCAAAUAUGCAACCUUUUGGGAUUAAAAAAAACUACAAAUGGGCACCUGAAGUGGUUUUAUGCAGAGUGGGAAGCUCCACAGAGGCAAGGAUUUCAUGUCUUUUGUUUAUUGAUUUAUCCCUAACACAAUGUUCAGUAGGACCUCAGUAAAUAUACCUGAGGACAACUCUGUCCACCUAAUGCUGCAUCUUAGAGAUCCUUCCCUGUAAAACACACAGAAGAUGAACAAGCCUCUUCCGUGGCUGCAGUGUGACAGUGUCCCGCAGAGUGAUGUGCCUCGUGCAUUCACAUCCCUCUGCAGAUCGAUGUCCGUAUUGUCUCCUUCCUUUCCACAUGGUUGAGCCAGUCAGUGCACAGGCCCCAGAGCUGCGUGUGUAAGUACCUUAGUUCCCAGCGUGGAGAGUUGAAUCUUACGUAACUUGGAUAAUCUGAUGCAGAGAAUAUCCAUUGCUGUUGUUAUUUUCAUUUAACUUACUGCAAGUUAUGGAGCAGCCUCGCACGAAUUUACAGAAGAGUAUAUUCCCUCUCCUGUGGACAGUCCAAUGUGCCCAUUUUGGGGGAACUAUUGUUAUCUUAUGCAUUUUUAGGAUUUUUUAGUAUCCUAAAUUUUGUGGGUAUUAUAUAUAAAAUGAACAUUUUUCUGCUUAUCUGUUUUAUCAUAAGACAAAAGCUUCUAAUUUUGAUUUAGACAAUUAAAAAAUGAUGGCAUUUAUGCUUUUUUCCAAUCAUUUUUAUGGAUUUUAAAAAUUACCGAUAUGAAAAUAAGGUUGUUUUGCUGCCUUUCACAUACUUUUACCCUUUUCAAUUGUGGUCACUUAUAAUUUUCUAGUAAGAAGAAGCUUUCUAAAAGUUGACGACUUUUCUGAAUGAACCAUUCAUCCCUUUAUCUAUAUUCUUCUGAAAUUUUUCCUUUUGUUGAUCUGUAGCAGAAUUUUGAUGUAAUGAUGUUAUUGAUCUUUUGUCAUAUUUACUAACAAGUCUUUUCCUCACUUUCUUGUGUAUAAUUUUAUUUACAAGGUUUUUGAGGUAAAUUUUAAAAUGUUCUGUAGUGGUAAUUGUUAGGUAGUAAUGACACCCAUUUUGGGGCACGAUGUGGCAUGGCAGUACAGGUAUACAGUGUGUGAUGAUCAGACCCCGGCAAGGUGGGCAUGUUUAUCACCUCAGACCUAGAUUGUUGCUUUGUCUUAGGAACACUCAAAACACUCCCCAUUAGCUGUGUUGAAGUAAUUACUUGUUGUCAACCGUAGUUACCCUCCUCUGCUGCAGAACAUUGUUCCUCCUGCCCAGCUGUGACCCUGCCCCACUGACCAUCGUCCGUCCGUCCCUCCUUCCCUCACACCCUUUGUGGACUCUGGCUACUACUGUUUUGUCCUCUCCUUUGAGACGGACUUUAGUAUUGCUCCUUUUCUCUAACUUCUUCUACUACAUUUGCAUUUUUAAAAAUAUUUUUUUAGUUGUAGAUGUACCCAAUAUCUUUAUUUAUUUUUAUGUGGUGCUGAGGAUAGAACCCAGUGCCUCCCACUUGCAAGGCAAGUGCUGUACCACUGAGCUACAGCCCCAGCCCGCUACAUUUACAUUUUAAAAGGCAGUGUCUGUCUCAAGAGCAGUUAUGCCCCAAACCUAAGGGUGGGUAUUUGUCUAUGAAGCCGUCAUUAACUCCCUCUCCAGGGUCCACCUAGGAGUGAGGCAGGAUUUGGGAAGUGGAGCAUGAAGGUUAGGAGCUGGAUUCUGCACCCUGCCUGCCAGCCUGCAGCAUCCGGCUCUGCCACUUGCCAGCCACGGGCAAGCUGCUUGGCACCUCUGUUCUACCAUUUCUUUAUUUGCAGAAGGGAUGUGGUGAUAGUAUCUGUGUGAUAGGGUUGUUGUGAGGAUUGCACACCUUGGGUUAUGAAGGUACAGAGUGCUGUGCUGCGCACACACAGCAGCGCUGUUUCCAUUGGCCAUUCUCCCCCUCACCUCUUCCUCCUCCUCCUCCUCCUUCCUUCUCCUCCUCCUCCUCCUCCUCUUCAUUCCCCUCCAUCAUCCUCCUCCUCCAAAGGAGCAAAUGUCUAAAUGCAGACAUACACAUGCUUUGCAAUACUUUCCCAUCGUACAGUAAGUAAUUCCGGUUGUGAGAGGGUGAUGAUCGCUGCCACUCGCUUUCCUUAAAGUCUUGCACUGUGGCUUGCUGCUGCUCCAGGUUCCACACCAACCCUGUGAAUCACUCCGUUGUUUCUCCUGCUUUGUUAGUGAUGUAACUGCAGCUUGGUGGAGCUAAGCAGUUCACCCUUGGUGGCAUGGUGUGGAGGUGGCAGGGUCUGGCCCAGUCUCUGUCUGGCUGAGCUCUGACCUGAGCGUCUGUGCUGAGGUGGUCUGCCCUCUUGCUCUCCUGCUGGUUUCUGUAGGGUGACACACUGUUAAUUAUUGUGCUGUCUAAUACAUUUGAAUGUCUGCUAGGCUGUUUUCUUUCAUAACCCUUCUUUUUAAAAAAUGCCUUUUGCAUUUAUAUAGAUCAUUCCUUCUUUUAUUGCAGAUUACAAUCUUGUCAUUUUCCAGUGAGUUUUAUUUGAAUUUCAGUUGAUGAGAUAUUUGUAAAGCCUAUACAUCAACCUGGGAAAAUGUCUCAUUUUUUCAUAUUCUGCUUUCUCAUUGAAUCAGAUAAAAUUGUUCAUUUCAUUUAUUAUGAUUUCCUAGAUGGUCAUCUUGAC
RNAcentral lists this long non-coding RNA (2927 nucleotides) under Marmota monax (woodchuck). The record is from RNAcentral. Lineage: Eukaryota; Metazoa; Chordata; Mammalia; Rodentia; Sciuridae.